Molecule: small nucleolar RNA, 132 nt
Organism: Meriones unguiculatus (Mongolian gerbil)
Lineage: Eukaryota; Metazoa; Chordata; Mammalia; Rodentia; Muridae
Source: Ensembl
CCUGGUCCCAGAAGGAUCACAGGUGUGCCGGCUGUGUCACAUGUUCAUCCCUAGGUGGCACAGAGGAGAGAGGCCAUGUCUAUACUCAGUGUUCAAACCUAUGAACAUCUGAAUGAUAAGCAGCCUAACAUU